RNAcentral lists this microRNA precursor (61 nucleotides) under Pristionchus pacificus. Its description in RNAcentral is "mir-8364 microRNA precursor family". It matches the Rfam family "mir-8364 microRNA precursor family". Lineage: Eukaryota; Metazoa; Nematoda; Chromadorea; Rhabditida; Neodiplogasteridae. The record is from Rfam by way of RNAcentral.
CCUCCAUUUCACGUUCUCUCUCGCCGGUCAGAGAGACGAGAGAGCACGUGAAAUGAAGAGA